UCUCAUGCUGUGACCCUCCAAAGGGAAGCGCCUUUCUGUUGUCUGAAAGAACACAAGGCACUUCCCUUUAGAGCGUGAAAGACUGAGA
Callithrix jacchus (white-tufted-ear marmoset) is the source of this 88-nucleotide non-coding RNA. The record is from Rfam. NCBI's taxonomy places the organism in Eukaryota, Metazoa, Chordata, Mammalia, Primates, Cebidae.